Molecule: ribosomal RNA, 497 nt
Filed under: uncultured bacterium
Lineage: Bacteria
Description: partial 16S ribosomal RNA
Rfam family: Bacterial small subunit ribosomal RNA
Source: RNAcentral
GAUGAACGCUGGCGGCGUGCCUAAUACAUGCAAGUCGAGCGAACGGACGAGAAGCUUGCUUCUCUGAUGUUAGCGGCGGACGGGUGAGUAACACGUGGAUAACCUACCUAUAAGACUGGGAUAACUUCGGGAAACCGGAGCUAAUACCGGAUAAUAUUUUGAACCGCAUGGUUCAAAAGUGAAAGACGGUCUUGCUGUCACUUAUAGAUGGAUCCGCGCUGCAUUAGCUAGUUGGUAAGGUAACGGCUUACCAAGGCAACGAUGCAUAGCCGACCUGAGAGGGUGAUCGCCCACACUGGAACUGAGACACGGUCCAGACUCCUACGGGAGGCAGCAGUAGGAUAUCUUCCGCAAUGGGCGAAAGUCUGACGGAGCAACGCCGCGUGAGUGAUGAAGGUCUUCGGAUCGUAAAACUCUGUUAUUAGGGAAGAACAUAUGUGUAAGUAACUGUGCACAUCUUGACGGUAACUAAUCAGAAAGCCACGGCUAACUACGUG